RNAcentral lists this ribosomal RNA (407 nucleotides) under uncultured bacterium. RNAcentral's name for it is "bacterial SSU rRNA". It matches the Rfam family "Bacterial small subunit ribosomal RNA", at positions 355 to 776 of the family's 1533-position model. The record is from RNAcentral.
UGGGGAAUAUUGCACAAUGGGGGAAACCCUGAUGCAGCGACGCCGCGUGAGCGAAGAAGUAUUUCGGUAUGUAAAGCUCUAUCAGCAGGGAAGAAAAAAAUGACGGUACCUGACUAAGAAGCCCCGGCUAACUACGUGCCAGCAGCCGCGGUAAUACGUAGGGGGCAAGCGUUAUCCGGAUUUACUGGGUGUAAAGGGAGCGCAGGCGGCAGUGCAAGUCUGAUGUGAAAGCCCGGGGCUUAACCCCGGGACUGCAUUGGAAACUGUAUUGCUUGAGUGUCGGAGGGGUAAGUGGAAUUCCUAGUGUAGCGGUGAAAUGCGUAGAUAUUAGGAGGAACACCAGUGGCGAAGGCGGCUUACUGGACGACAACUGACGCUGAGGCUCGAAAGCGUGGGGAGCAAACAGG